This 374-nucleotide ribosomal RNA is filed under the name uncultured bacterium. RNAcentral's name for it is "bacterial SSU rRNA". It matches the Rfam family "Bacterial small subunit ribosomal RNA", at positions 524 to 898 of the family's 1533-position model. The record is from RNAcentral.
UACGGAGGGUGCAAGCGUUAUCCGGAAUUAUUGGGUUUAAAGGGUCCGCAGGCGGUCCUAUAAGUCAGGGGUGAAAUCCCACAGCUUAACUGUGGAAUUGCCUUUGAAACUGUGGGACUUGAAUUAAGUAGGCGUUGGCGGAAUAUGACAUGUAGCGGUGAAAUGCAUAGAUAUGUCAUGGAACACCGAAAGCGAAGGCAGCUAACGAUGCUUAUAUUGACGCUCAGGGACGAAAGCGUGGGUAGCAAACAGGAUUAGAUACCCUGGUAGUCCACGCCGUAAACUAUGAUUACUCGUUUUUGGGGACUUCGGUCUUCAGAGGCUAAGCGAAAGUGAUAAGUAAUCCACCUGGGGAGUACGAUCGCAAGGUUGAA